UACAGAGGUGGCAAGCGUUGUUCGGAAUUAUUGGGCGUAAAGCGCGCGCAGGCGGUCCUUUAAGUCUGAUGUGAAAGCCCACGGCUCAACCGUGGAGGGUCAUUGGAAACUGGGGGACUUGAGUGCAGAAGAGGAAAGCGGAAUUCCACGUGUAGCGGUGAAAUGCGUAGAGAUGUGGAGGAACACCAGUGGCGAAGGCGGCUUUCUGGUCUGUAACUGACGCUGAGGCGCGAAAGCGUGGGGAGCAAACAGG
This 253-nucleotide ribosomal RNA is filed under the name uncultured bacterium. RNAcentral's name for it is "partial 16S ribosomal RNA". It matches the Rfam family "Bacterial small subunit ribosomal RNA", at positions 524 to 776 of the family's 1533-position model. The record is from RNAcentral.